RNAcentral lists this ribosomal RNA (470 nucleotides) under uncultured bacterium. Its description in RNAcentral is "bacterial SSU rRNA". It matches the Rfam family "Bacterial small subunit ribosomal RNA", at positions 29 to 526 of the family's 1533-position model. The record is from RNAcentral.
AGCGAACGCUGGCGGCAGGCUUAACACAUGCAAGUCGAACGCCCGUAGCAAUACGGGAGUGGCAGACGGGUGAGUAACGCGUGGGAACGUACCCUUUGGUUCGGAAUAACUCAGGGAAACUUGAGCUAAUACCGGAUAAGCCCCUGAUCCUUGGGUGGAUUUGGGGGAAAGAUUUAUCGCCGAAGGAUCGGCCCGCGUCCGAUUAGCUAGUUGGUGUGGUAACGGCGCACCAAGGCGACGAUCGGUAGCUGGUCUGAGAGGAUGAUCAGCCACGCUGGGACUGAGACACGGCCCAGACUCCUACGGGAGGCAGCGGUGGGGAAUAUUGGACAAUGGGCGCAAGCCUGAUCCAGCCAUGCCGCGUGAGUGAUGAAGGCCUUAGGGUUGUAAAGCUCUUUCGGCGGGGACGAUAAUGACGGUACCCGCAGAAGAAGCCCCGGCUAACUUCGUGCCAGCAGCCGCCGUAACAC